This 296-nucleotide unclassified non-coding RNA is filed under the name Hevea brasiliensis (rubber tree). The record is from RNAcentral. Lineage: Eukaryota; Viridiplantae; Streptophyta; Magnoliopsida; Malpighiales; Euphorbiaceae.
GAUGCAUCAGUGUGAAUUUCUCUUUGAGUUUCAACCCUUGACACCAUUGAGUAUGCAUUGUUUAUACUAGAUAAUGGAUCUAUCAAAAGAACUUGAUUCCUGACAUGAUCAUAAGUUUCAUUUAAUCCCAUUAAAAACUGCAUGAGUUUAUCUUCAUUAUGCAUGUCAUCCAUUGAUUUUGAUGCUCCACACUUACACACUGGUAAAGGUUUAUAACAUGCUAAUUCAUCCCAUAAUUUUUUAAGUUUAGUAAAAUACACUACAGCUAAUGCAUUGCCCUGAGUUAGAAUACUUAU